AGAGUUUGAUUCUGGCUCAGAACGAACGCUGGCAGCGUGGAUUAGGCAUGCGAGUCGAACGAGAAACUAUUGUUUCAAUCUUCGGAGAGAAACGAUGGCAGACAGUGGCGGAAGGGUGAGUAACGCGUGGGCAAGCUACCUCGAAGUUGGGGACAACCAGAUGAAAUCUGGCUAAUACCGGAUGUGGUCUCUUGGCGCAUGUCAGGAUGACUAAAGGCGGGGAUCCUUCGGGACCUGUCGCUUUGAGAGGUGCCCGCGUGCCAUCAGCUUGUUGGUAGGGUAACGGCCUACCAAGGCUUACGGCUAGCCGGCCUGAGAGGGUGACCGGCCACACUGGGACUGAGACACUGCCCAGACUCCUACGGGAGGCUGCAGUCGAGGAUCAUUCGCAAUGCGCGAAAGCGUGACGAUGCGACGCUGCGUGGAGGAUGACGGCCUUCGGGUUGUAAACUCCUGUCAUGAGGGAAAAGACGUUUCACCCCUAAUACGGGUGAGGCCCGAUGGUACCUCAAGAGGAAGCCACGGCUAACUCUGUGCCAGCAGCCGCGGUAAUACAGAGGUGGCGAGCGUUGUUCGGAUUUACUGGGCGUAAAGGGUGCGUAGGUGGUUCCGUAUGUCGGAUGUGAAAUCCCAUGGCUCAACUGUGGAAUUGCAUUCGAAACCACGGAACUAGAGUGCAGGAGGGGAGAGCGGAAUUCUUGGUGUAGCGGUGAAAUGCGUUGAUAUCAAGAAGAACACCGGUGGCGAAGGCGGCUCUCUGGAAUGCUACUGACACUGAGGCACGAAAGCUGGGAGAGCAAACAGGAUUAGAUACCCUGGUAGUCCCAGCCGUAAACGGUGCACACUUGGUGUGGGGAGAUUUAACCCUCUCCGUGCCGGAGCUAACGCGUUAAGUGUGCCGCCUGGGGAGUACGGCCGCAAGGCUAAAACUCAAAGAAAUUGACGGGGGCCCGCACAAGCGGAGGAGCAUGUGGCUUAAUUCGACGCAACGCGAAGAACCUUACCAGGGCUUGACAUAUACCUGCAAGCCCCCUGAAAGGGGGGAAUCCUUCGAGGGUGGUAUACAGGUGCUGCAUGGCUGUCGUCAGUUCGUGCCGUGAGGUGUUGGGUUAAGUCCCGUAACGAACGCAACCCUUGUGGCUAGUUGCGACCGGCGGUGAUGAGCCGCCGAGCACUCUAGUCAGACUGCCCGUACAAGCGGGAGGAAGGUGGGGAUGACGUCAAGUCAGUAUGGCCCUUACGCCCUGGGCUGCACACGUGCUACAAUGGACGGUACAAUGGGAUGCAAUACCGCGAGGUGGAGCCAAUCCCCAGAACCGUCCCCAGUUCGGAUUGAAGUCUGCAACUCGACUUCAUGAAGUUGGAUUCGCUAGUAACGGCGCAUCAGCUACGGCGCCGUGAAUACGUUCCCGGGCCUUGUACACACCGCCCGUCACAUCAUGAAAGCCGUCUGCACCCGAAGUCGCUGAUCCAACCCGCAAGGGAGGUAGGUGCCGAAGGUGUGGGUGGUGAUUGGGAUGAAGUCGUAACAAGGUA
RNAcentral lists this ribosomal RNA (1536 nucleotides) under metagenome. RNAcentral's name for it is "bacterial SSU rRNA". It matches the Rfam family "Bacterial small subunit ribosomal RNA". The record is from RNAcentral.